AGGACCUACGGGAGGCAGCAGUGAGGAAUAUUGGUCAAUGGGCUUACGCCUGAACCAGCCAAGUCGCGUGAGGGAAGACUGCCCUAUGGGUCGUAAACCUCUUUUGUCGGGGAGCAAAGAGAGUCACGUGUGGCUCAUUGAGAGUACCCGAAGAAAAAGCAUCGGCUAACUCCGUGCCAGCAGCCGCGGUAAUACGGAGGAUGCGAGCGUUAUCCGGAUUUAUUGGGUUUAAAGGGUGCGCAGGCGGAGGUGCAAGUCAGUGGUCAAAUUGCGGGGCUCAACCCCGUACUGCCGUUGAAACUGCA
RNAcentral lists this ribosomal RNA (305 nucleotides) under uncultured bacterium. RNAcentral describes it as "bacterial SSU rRNA". It matches the Rfam family "Bacterial small subunit ribosomal RNA", at positions 332 to 637 of the family's 1533-position model. The record is from RNAcentral.